GAUGAAGAACGCAGCGAAAUGCGAUAAGUAAUGUGAAUUGCAGAAUUCAGUGAAUCAUCGAAUCUUUGAACGCACAUUGCGCCCGUCAGUAUUCUGGCGGGCAUGCCUGUUCGAGCGUCAUUACGCCCCUCAAGUCCCCUGUGGACUUGGUGUUGGGGAUCGGCGAGGCUGGUUUUCCAGCACAGCCGUCCCUUAAAUUAAUUGGCGGUCUCGCCGUGGCCCUCCUCUGCGCAGUAGUAAAACACUCGCAACAGGAGCCCGGCGCGGUCCACUGCCGUAAAACCCCCCAACUUUUUAUAGUUGACCUCGAAUCAGGUAGGACUGCCCGCUGAACUUAAGCAUAUCAAUAAGCGGAGGA
This 358-nucleotide unclassified non-coding RNA is filed under the name soil metagenome. RNAcentral's name for it is "partial contains 5.8S ribosomal RNA, internal transcribed spacer 2, and large subunit ribosomal RNA". The stretch from base 1 to 120 matches the Rfam family "5.8S ribosomal RNA", at positions 35 to 154 of the family's 154-position model. The record is from RNAcentral.